Molecule: ribosomal RNA, 381 nt
Filed under: uncultured Halobacteria archaeon
Lineage: Archaea; Methanobacteriati; Methanobacteriota; Halobacteria
Description: bacterial SSU rRNA
Rfam family: Archaeal small subunit ribosomal RNA
Source: RNAcentral
UAACCCCAGCGCCACAAGUGGCAAUCACAUUUAUUGGGCCUAAAGCGUCCGUAGCCGGUUUGGAAAAUCUCGUGUGAAAUCGUCAUGCUCAACGUGACGGCGUGCACAAGACACUACCAGACUAGGGACCGGGAGGAGUCAGAGGUAUGCCGGGGGGAGCGGUAAAAUGCUAUAAUCCCUGGUGGACCACCUGUGGCGAAGGCGUCUGACCAGAACGGAUUCGACGGUGAGGGACGAAAGCUAGGGGAGCGAACCGGAUUAGAUACCCGAGUAGUCCUAGCUGUAAACGCUGCGAGCUAGGUGUUGCGCAUUCUUCGAGAAUGCGCAGUGUCGAAGCGAAGGUGAUAAGCUCGCCGCCUGGGAAGUACGGUCGCAAGACUG